This 742-nucleotide long non-coding RNA is filed under the name Vulpes vulpes (red fox). Its description in RNAcentral is "lncRNA (ENSVVUG00000007572.1)". The record is from RNAcentral. Lineage: Eukaryota; Metazoa; Chordata; Mammalia; Carnivora; Canidae.
AUGUCAAGGCCAUGCCAUCUUAUGCAGGCUAGCAGCAACAUGAAGUCAACAAGCGCCAGCGUGUCAUGUCCCUGCAAACAAACAGCAUGGAGAAGGCUGCCAGGAGAAAUGACAAGGGUGUUGAUCACACAGGACGUCAGCGGUGAAGAAGAAAGAUCCCUGCAUCUCUGUCAUCACUUCCAAGGCAGGGCCUUUCCCUCUGCAGAAAGCAGUCCAGAGGCUUGCAAGUCAACACUGGGAAACCCUCUUUGCAGCAAUCCUCUACGAUUAACUGCAACAGAAUCAGUGGCUUGGCUGAAGAGAAGCACAGAAUACAGUGCACCUCGGUGUUCACAGAUCCUCACCAUCAGGGCAAGUUUUCCUGAAAAUUAUGAAAAAUGAAAGCUUUGCUUCUUUAUCGUUGCAGGGUUAUUUCUAUGCCUCAGUCCUCUUAAAGGGAGUCCCACUUCCCAGCCUUCCCAGUCUCCUCCCAUUUCCUCCCUGACAACCCGGUCAAACAACCUCAUCUCUUCCCUGGCAAAAUUAAUUUUCUGUAAAAGCUGAUACUCAUCCUUAUUUAAGUGUAACUGAGAGAUAGGAACAAUAUGUGUCCUCUUAUACAGAGCUUUUCUAGCAUGUUGCCUGGGAACAAAGCCUUAAGCUUAAGAAAAGAAUUUCUACAGGUUGCCAUUUCUAGGACAAAAUCUGAGACCAUUUUGUGACAAAGAAUAAAGGUUUUUCAGAGGCCCUGAAGUUAGGUUUU